This 67-nucleotide transfer RNA is filed under the name Chionomys gud (Gudaur snow vole). RNAcentral's name for it is "tRNA-Val". It matches the Rfam family "tRNA". Rfam says of the family: Transfer RNA (tRNA) molecules are approximately 80 nucleotides in length. Their secondary structure includes four short double-helical elements and three loops (D, anti-codon, and T loops). Lineage: Eukaryota; Metazoa; Chordata; Mammalia; Rodentia; Cricetidae. The record is from RNAcentral.
CAUAGUGUAGCUUAAUAAAAGCAUCUGGCCUACACCCAGAAGACUCCACAACCAAUGGACGCUAUGA